Molecule: small nuclear RNA, 104 nt
Filed under: Prolemur simus (greater bamboo lemur)
Lineage: Eukaryota; Metazoa; Chordata; Mammalia; Primates; Lemuridae
Source: RNAcentral
GUGCUCUUUUCGGCAGCACAUAUACUAAAAUUGGAACAAUUCAGAGAUUAGCAUGGCCCCCGUGCAAGGAUGACAUGCAAGUUUGUGAAGUGUUCCAUAUUAAA